RNAcentral lists this transfer RNA (76 nucleotides) under Syntrophomonadaceae bacterium. RNAcentral's name for it is "tRNA-Lys". It matches the Rfam family "tRNA". Rfam says of the family: Transfer RNA (tRNA) molecules are approximately 80 nucleotides in length. Lineage: Bacteria; Bacillati; Bacillota; Clostridia; Eubacteriales; Syntrophomonadaceae. The record is from RNAcentral.
GGGCCAUUAGCUCAGCUGGUAGAGCACCUGACUUUUAAUCAGGGUGUCGUUGGUUCGAGUCCAACAUGGCUCACCA